RNAcentral lists this ribosomal RNA (507 nucleotides) under Cantharellus romagnesianus. RNAcentral describes it as "eukaryotic LSU rRNA". It matches the Rfam family "Eukaryotic large subunit ribosomal RNA", at positions 103 to 654 of the family's 3401-position model. The record is from RNAcentral. Lineage: Eukaryota; Fungi; Basidiomycota; Agaricomycetes; Cantharellales; Hydnaceae. RNAcentral also lists the same sequence under 1 other name.
AAGAGCUCAUCAUUGGAAUCUGGCAGCGUUGCGCUGUCCGAGUUGUAGAUGAGAAGAGUAGGACAUCUGGACUGCAUGGUGUCCAAGUACAAUAGGCCGUCAGUGGGACAUCAUAGAGGGUGACAAUCCCGUCCUUGACACCAAUGUACGAGUCCUUUACGAUGCCUAUCUCGGAGAGUCGAGCAGUUUGGGAUUUGCUGCUUAAACACGGGAGGUAGAUUCCUUCCAAAGCUAAAUACAGGCAAGAGACCGAUAGUGAACAAGUACCGCAAGGGAAAGAUGAAAUAGAACUCUGUGAAGGGAGUCAAAAAGACGUGAAAUUGUUGCGAGAGAAGCGAUUCAAGUCAGCGUAGCUGGGCCCAUCAAGCCUCGCGCUUUGGACCAGCUUUGCCAGCGGUCUUGUCCCCAGAGACUUGACUAAGGUGCCCUGCCCGGUCUAACGGACAGACCUCCCCGCUGGGGAGGCCAGUGGCAUGGCUGGUGGAAUGGCUUGCAAUCGACCCGUCU